Small nuclear RNA from Monodelphis domestica (gray short-tailed opossum), 107 nucleotides. Lineage: Eukaryota; Metazoa; Chordata; Mammalia; Didelphimorphia; Didelphidae. The record is from Ensembl.
GUGCUCACUUUGGCAGCACAAAUUCUAAAAUUGGAAUGAUACAGAGAAGAUUACCAUGGCCCUUGCUCAAGGAUGACAUGCAAAUUUGUGAAGCAUUCCAUAGUUUU